This is a long non-coding RNA of Scylla paramamosain (green mud crab), 3811 nucleotides long. RefSeq lists it as uncharacterized. Lineage: Eukaryota; Metazoa; Arthropoda; Malacostraca; Decapoda; Portunidae. The record is from RefSeq and is a predicted model, not a curated record. The transcript has 6 exons.
CUCCCCCUCCACACUUCAGUACACCCUUCCUGUCUUCGUACACCUUACUACACCCCUCCUGUCUGCCCCUAGAGCUUAAUACACCCUGUAUUGCCCCUGCAUCUUACUAAACUAUCCCCGUUUGUCCUUCAUCUCAAUAAACCCUGUCUACGUUCCCUGUCUGCCUGUUUGUUCCAGCUUACUACACCCUGUCUGUCCCUACUCCUUAGUCCACCUUUCCUUUCCCCUACACCUCAAUACUCCCUUCCCAGCCUGCCUCUUAUAUUCAUAUUUAUCGAUUUAUAUUUAUUUAUAGCAUUCUUGGUGUGUUUUGGGAUGUUUUUGUCAGUUUUUGGAUGAGUUUGGGUGUGUUUUGGGGUGUUUUUGUCAUUUUUGGAUGAGUUUCGGUGUGUUUUUGGGGUGUUUUUGUCAGUUUUGAAUGAGUUUGGGUGUGUUUUGGGGUGCUUUUGUCAUUUUUGGAUGAGUUUGGGUGUGUUUUGGGGUGUUUUUGUCAUUUUUGGAUGAGUUUGAGUGUGUUUUGGGGUGUUUUUGUCAUUUUUGAAUGAGUUUGGGUGUAUUUUGGAGUGUUUUGGCCAGUUUUGGAUGAGUUUGGGUGUGUUUUGGGGUAUUUUUGUCAGUUUUGAUGAGUUUGGGUGUGUUUUGGGGUGUUUUUUGUCAGUUUUGGAUGAGUUUGGUAUACCAAAAUUGUGCUUCCGGGAGUUGGAUAUCAAAGUUGAGAGAGAGAGAGAGAGAGAGAGAGAGAGAGAGAGAGAGAGAGAGAGAGAGCAAAUGAUGUAUAAUACUGAACAAAUUAUAAGGGAAAAAGGAAGAGAAUGGGGACGAAUAAAAUAAAUACAUAAUACAUAACAGAAUAUAAUAUAGAACAAAUUAUGAAGGAAAAGAAAAAAAAAAAACUAUAAUAAAUGAAGGGCGCAGCGUGGCGCAGAGCAUAUAAUAACCUGUGGUAGACCAAGCUGUAUAGACCAUUUAAUGAGUAAUUAAAUGGUCUAUACUAAACUAAAUUAUAAUGGCUUAUAAUUUAGUUUUACAUGUUCAUACUUUAUUAAAUUUCACUUGUUUUAUUUUGUAUUAGAAUAGUGUAAUAUGAGAGAAGCUGGAGUUAUUGGAAAAUAUAAUUUGUAGGUUGGUGGGUACGUAUUCCAGUAGUCCACGCUGGCAUAGGAAAGCGGGGAGGACAUCAGGCACACGGAUGGGUGGUGUUGGAAGGGCGUGUGUAUGCCGCUGCUUUAUUUAACCAGGAUUUUCUCUCAACAAGACGGGUGACGCAUGCCAUGCGUAUCAGUGCAAGCUUAGUGCCUGCCGGGAGGUGCCUGGGAGGGCCGAGAGCUGUUCGUGAGGGCCAGGAAGGCUCAUAAUAUUGCAAGUGACUCGCCCACCACUUGUCCCCCUGGUGGACUGCUCACAGACGCUGUGGUGUAGUAGGAGACUACCCCAUCCCCUGCCUCCCGCCCUGCCCCACCCAGACACCAUGGCCCAGCAGCGACGCCAUUCCACCUGCUACAUGACCCUGGCUGACGCACUCCUGAUGUGGCAGCGACAGGAGGCGGAGGGCAGGAGCAAGAGUCGGAUGGUGGUGGUGGCUGUGGAGGGUGUUUGUGCAGGGUACCUCGGCAGGGUCUAGGUUUGCAGCAAACCUUGAAGGUUCCAGAGCUGCUCAGCAAGUGCCCAGUCCAGACUGUCACAAGACUGUGUGAUGGAGGACCUUCCACUGAUACUCAUUGAUAACAACUGUGCACUGCCACUCACAGGAAAUAUUGAGUUGUCUUGAACCUGAGAUGAGUUGGUCAGCUAAUGAGUGGCUUGGAUCAAGUGACUGUGAGGUGUCGGAUGUUGCUGCAAGUGUAACCAGUAAUAAUGUUGAUUGUGUGUGCGUUUUCCUCGGGUGGCGCUGUGGAUAGCAAGCAGAAGAGACCUUGGGAGACUUCUGUAAAUGAGGAGCAACAGGCACACCUCACUGGAGCCUUUCAGGAACCAACAGUCAGAGAGCUCUUGUACCACACUUGCCGAUUCUUGUCAACCUGAGUGAGACCAGUGUUGAGAGGACUUCUGCCUUUGCAAGUUGCCCUGAAGGACAUGAGGGUCCCAAUGCUCAUCAUAUCCACUAAGGAGCUCAGUUCGAAAAACUGCCUGAACAUAAAUAAAAAUUAAUGUAAUGAAGAGUUAAGUCAAGGCUAACUAAUAUCAACUCAAGUCUUAAGUUAUCCAUCUUGGCUUCAACAACAUGCCAGACUGCCUACCAGCAAAUAUGCCAGGGAGAGCAGUUGCAAUCAAUGGUGGGAGUCUGGAAUUUCUUGAUGAUCUUGGAGAAAAAAGGGAACACCAGACCAUCACUGGCCAUGGCACAGAUGAUACGAGGAAGAGGGAACACUGCACCAAACAGGCUGUAAGGGAGAUCACAGCAUAUAAAAUUAAACUAAUGGAAUCCUUGAAAAAGUAUGAGAUGCUUAAAGGUUUUAGUGCUUCAUCUCAAUUAAUUUUAGUUGUUUCUAGGGGGAAGUUUUUAAGUUUUCAAGCACUUGUUUUUGUGAUUCCAGUGAUAAUUUAACAAUGUUGAGAAGAUGCUAAGAUUUUCCAGGAUGAUUUCAUGAUUUAAGUGAUAAUAUAACAAAGUUCUAUGGGAAAUUAAAAUAUUUCCAUGAUUCUAGUGAUAUUGUAGCCAAGAUUCUUCACUGUCAAUGGAAAAACACCAAAGAGGUCCUAAAUAAUCGUCUCUGUAAACUUUGAAAACAGUUGUGAUGAAAGAGGAAAGUGUUUCAAAAUACUGUACCAGGUCUUGAUAAUGAACUGAAUACAAGACUUGCCAAGCACCACCAAGCACUAGCAAUUAGAUUUAACUAAAGAGAUAAGAAGGAAUUGGUUCUCAAAUAGAGGGGCAGAGAUGUAUGGAAUAGAAAGGACUGAGUUUUCAGGUUGUUAGUGCUGAGUCAUUAGAGAGCUUGAAAACAAGACAAAUUCAUGGAUGAGGAUGAUAGGUGGAAACAGGAAGGUAUAUUUGAUACGGGAAAUGCUAGAUGUAGGGAUGGUGGCUUCCUGCAGCUUCCCUUAUCUUCUUGCAAUAAGAGAGGCUGAAGAUAGUCUGUUAGAGAAGAGGAGUUGAUAAGAUGAAAAGCUUUUGAUUUCACCCUCUCUAAAAUAGUGGUUUGAGUGAACUCUCCCCCACCCACCCAAACACAUGAAGCAAACUACAUACAUGAACAGAUAAGGCCCCUGUACAGUUAGCAACUGGGGUGGGAGGGGAUUGGGGGUGAGAAACCAGGCAGAGAUGACUCAGAAUGCCUGACUUCAUAGAAGCUGCUUUAGCUAGAGAGAUGUGAGGUUUCCAGUUAAGAUUAUAAAUGAAAGACAGACCGAAGAUGUUCGGUGUAGAAGAGAGGGACAGCUGAGUAUCAUUGAAGAAGGGUGUAGAGAUAUCUGGAAGAUUGUGGGAAGUUGAUAAAUGGAAGAACUGAGUUUUUAAGGCAUUGAUCAUUACUAAGUUUGCUCUGCCCCCAGGUUUCUAUCAAAUUCUGUCUUUCCAAAAAUGCAUCUCUGUCAAAUUCUGUCUUUCCAAAAAUGUAAACUGAAUUUUUUCACAAGGAUAUUUCUCAUCCCUUGCAUCUUUUUAGUCAUUCCCCUUUGUACUGAUUCUAAAAGACCUAUAUUCUCUCAAGGAACUGAAAUUCUACACCAUAAUCUAGAUAAAGUCUGACCAGCACCAAAUAUAACUUUAAUAUUACUUCAGGGCUUCCACUUUCAACACUACUAAAGAUUAGUCAGUAUUACUUCAGGACUUGUACUUUUAACACUAUUAAAGAUUAUUUCUAAUACACAA